Molecule: long non-coding RNA, 618 nt
Organism: Aethina tumida (small hive beetle)
Lineage: Eukaryota; Metazoa; Arthropoda; Insecta; Coleoptera; Nitidulidae
Exons: 2
Source: RefSeq, a predicted model, not a curated record
CGAUUAGCUCCAAUCGAUAUGUUCGUUAAACAAUAUGAUAAUUUAUCGUGGGACGUGUUAAUCGUCAUACUACAAAUCAGUGUUCCAGAAAAAGAAAAACAUCACACCCGGCAAGAUCACCAAUCAAUUGUCAUUCGACUCGCGUGGUUUUUGAAAGAUUCAAGUACGUUGGAGACUAAGGAAUCGCAGUUUUAACGAUAACCUCGGGUAUACGGUUCAUUGUUUCCGACAGUUUUGACUGUCACAUAAAACUUUAUAUAUAAAAAGCACGAUAAACACAUUUUAUUUAUUUUUUGUGAAAAUGAAGUUUAUUAAGGUGUUGUUGUUUUUGUUUGCUUUGAUGGUUUCCUGCAAUGCCAUGAGAUCUAGAAUAGUUGGAGAUAAAAGAGAGUAUGUGGUACGGUAUUUGAACUCGUGCAAGGACACAGCGUCCUGUCAGCAGUCCUGUUCUGAAAUCAACAGCGAUUGGUCGGGCAGAUGUGAGGAGUACGAGCGCAAGAACAUUUGUGUCUGUUGCACGAUGCACUGACCUUUUAACAUUUGUUGACCUGUCCGUUUGCUGAUAUUGAAUAAACACUUAACAUUUUAAUAAAUUUUAAUAUAUAUUUUAAAAUUAGA